CUACGGGGUGCAGCAGUGAGGAAUCUUGCGCAAUGGGGGAAACCCUGACGCAGCCACGCCGCGUGGGUGAAGAAGGCCUUCGGGUCGUAAAGCCCUGUCAGGUGGGAAGAGCCGCAUAAGGAGUAACACAUCUUAUGCCCGACGGUACCACCAAAGGAAGCACCGGCUAACUCCGUGCCAGCAGCCGCGGUAAUACGGAGGGUGCAAGCGUUGUUCGGAAUUACUGGGCGUAAAGAGCGUGUAGGCGGCGUUGUAAGUCGUAUGUGAAAGCCCCCGGCUCAACUGGGGAAGUGCAUGCGAUACUGCUUCGCUUGAGUCUCGGAGAGGGAUGUGGAAUUCCCGGUGUAGAGGUGAAAUUCGUAGAUAUCGGGAGGAACACCAGUGGCGAAGGCGACAUCCUGGACGAAGACUGACGCUGAGACGCGAAAGCGUGGGGAGCAAACAGGAUUAGAUACCCGGGUAGUC
Molecule: ribosomal RNA, 465 nt
Filed under: uncultured bacterium
Lineage: Bacteria
Description: partial 16S ribosomal RNA
Rfam family: Bacterial small subunit ribosomal RNA
Source: RNAcentral